GCCCGAUUAGCUCAGCUGGUUAGAGCGUCGUACUAAUAAUCCUCACCAGAUUAUAUGGUAUGCGAAGGUCAACAGUUCAAUCCUGUUAUUGGGCA
Non-coding RNA from Cercophora sp. LCS_1, 95 nucleotides. NCBI's taxonomy places the organism in Eukaryota, Fungi, Ascomycota, Sordariomycetes, Sordariales, Lasiosphaeriaceae. The record is from the annotation of a GenBank genome assembly.